Notothenia coriiceps (black rockcod) is the source of this 313-nucleotide long non-coding RNA. RefSeq lists it as uncharacterized. The transcript has 2 exons. NCBI's taxonomy places the organism in Eukaryota, Metazoa, Chordata, Actinopteri, Perciformes, Nototheniidae. The record is from RefSeq and is a predicted model, not a curated record.
CUUCUUUAUAUAUGUGUGGGAAUGUGACGUCAUUGUCACGUGACGUGAUCACAUGACCGGUGACCGGUAGAAUGUAAGUUAUUGGCAGUUUAUUGGCAGUUUCAGAAAACCUUUCUCUUUGCUACACGCGCACCGUUAUCUCCCUCAAAAGCUGAGUAUGAGCGUUUCCCCUCCUGGAUGGAGCCAGGAGGAUCUAUUACUCUGUCAAAGAAAGCCUGGUUUUUAACCUUCUUUUAAUGUUAUAUCGAAUUGGUGUUUGAGCUGGCAACUAUUAUGUUGCGUUUUUUUUCAAAAAUACACAUUUAAAACUUUU